CGUAGGCGGAUGUUUAAGUCAGAGGUGAAAGCCCAGGGCUCAACCUUGGAACUGCCUUUGAUACUGGACAUCUUGAGUAUGGGAGAGGUGAGUGGAACUCCGAGUGUAGAGGUGAAAUUCGUAGAUAUUCGGAAGAACACCAGUGGCGAAGGCGACUCACUGGCCCACUACUGACGCUGAGGCGCGAAAGCGUGGGGAGCAAACAGGAUUAGAUACCCUGGUAGUCCACGCCGUAAACGAUGAGUGCUAGUUGUCGGCAUGCAUGCAUGUCGGUGACGCAGCUAACGCAUUAAGCACUCCGCCUGGGGAGUACGGUCGCAAGAUUAAA
This 328-nucleotide ribosomal RNA is filed under the name uncultured bacterium. RNAcentral describes it as "bacterial SSU rRNA". It matches the Rfam family "Bacterial small subunit ribosomal RNA", at positions 570 to 898 of the family's 1533-position model. The record is from RNAcentral.